AUUGCGCAGAAUUUGUGAGCUUCACAAUUUCUAACGAGUGUAGUCUUGGGAGGAUCUUGAUUUUACGCGCUUUUUAGCUGCGGACCUUACGGUUUAUAAAAUCACGCUCGUUGAAAAUGGCAGGACUUUUGUCCUGCCAUUUUUA
RNAcentral lists this small RNA (145 nucleotides) under Ahrensia marina. RNAcentral's name for it is "Alphaproteobacterial sRNA ar9". It matches the Rfam family "Alphaproteobacterial sRNA ar9". Lineage: Bacteria; Pseudomonadati; Pseudomonadota; Alphaproteobacteria; Hyphomicrobiales; Ahrensiaceae. The record is from Rfam by way of RNAcentral.